UAAGCUGAAGCCAAAUGUACAGGCGCUUAGCUGUUAACUAAGAUAAAGUAGGAUAAAUACCUACCAGUUUAG
This 72-nucleotide transfer RNA is filed under the name Marmosa murina (murine mouse opossum). Its description in RNAcentral is "tRNA-Asn". It matches the Rfam family "tRNA". Rfam says of the family: Transfer RNA (tRNA) molecules are approximately 80 nucleotides in length. Their secondary structure includes four short double-helical elements and three loops (D, anti-codon, and T loops). The record is from RNAcentral. Lineage: Eukaryota; Metazoa; Chordata; Mammalia; Didelphimorphia; Didelphidae.